AGCGAACGCUGGCGGCAGGCCUAACACAUGCAAGUCGAACGGAACCUUCGGGCUUAGUGGCGGACGGGUGAGGAACACGUGGGAACGUGCCCGUGGGUUCGGAACCACUCAGGGUGAGUUGAGCUAAUACCGGUGGUGCCCUUAGGGGGUAAGAUUUUUCGCCAUUGGCGCGGGGCGUGUCUGCUUAGGCAGUUGGGGAGGUAACGGCCCACCAAGGCGACGAUCCGUGGCUGGUGUGAUAGGAUGCUCCGGCACACUGGGACUGCGGCACGGACUAGACUCCUACGCGGAGCAGCAGUAGGGAGCAUUGCGCACUGGGCGCAAGCCUGACACAGCCAUGCCGCGUGAAUGAUCAAGGUCUUAGGAUUGCAAAAUUCUUUGAGCGGGGACGAUAAUGACGGUACCGGCAGAAGAAGCUCCGGCUAACUUCGUG
RNAcentral lists this ribosomal RNA (433 nucleotides) under uncultured bacterium. RNAcentral's name for it is "partial 16S ribosomal RNA". It matches the Rfam family "Bacterial small subunit ribosomal RNA", at positions 28 to 507 of the family's 1533-position model. The record is from RNAcentral.